Molecule: long non-coding RNA, 414 nt
Filed under: Homo sapiens (human)
Lineage: Eukaryota; Metazoa; Chordata; Mammalia; Primates; Hominidae
Description: HSALNT0155346
Source: RNAcentral
AGGCGGCACUGCCAGGUACCCAGAAAGGAGGAAGCAGAGAGCCCAGGGGAUGACUCGACCCAGGCACACGGCUGAUGGAUUGAUGAACGGCAGAGCUGGCCUCAGACCACAGGCAACUCUGGGAGGAAGAAAUUAGGACGCAGAUACCCAGAGGGGAGACAUGAGGACAGAGGGAAAAGCCGGCCAUCCGCAUGCCAGGCAGAGAGGCCUCGGGAGAAGCCGCCCCUGCUGGCACCUCCACCUCGGACUUCUAGCCUCCAGAAUUGUGAGAACAUCAGUUUAUUUUGUUUACCCGCCCCCCCCCCGCCCCCACCAAAUCUGUAGAACUUUGUUACAGCAGCCCUCGGGAACAAAUACACCCCCAAUAUAUGAACGUGCAUUUGGAGUCGUGAGUGCAGCAGCCCCCUAGGAGCU